GUCUAUGGCUAUACCACACUGAAUGCGUCUGAUCUUGUCUGAUCUCAGAAGCUAAACAGGGUCGGGCCUGGUUAGUACUUGAUGGGAGACUGCGUGGGACUACUGGGUGCUGUAGGCU
RNAcentral lists this ribosomal RNA (118 nucleotides) under Piliocolobus tephrosceles (Ugandan red Colobus). Lineage: Eukaryota; Metazoa; Chordata; Mammalia; Primates; Cercopithecidae. The record is from RNAcentral.